RNAcentral lists this ribosomal RNA (464 nucleotides) under uncultured bacterium. RNAcentral describes it as "partial 16S ribosomal RNA". It matches the Rfam family "Bacterial small subunit ribosomal RNA", at positions 28 to 507 of the family's 1533-position model. The record is from RNAcentral.
GACGAACGCUGGCGGCGUGCUUAACACAUGCAAGUCGUACGGUAAGGCCCUUUCGGGGGUACACGAGUGGCGAACGGGUGAAUAACACGUGAGUAACCUGCCCACAACUUUGGGAUAACGCUAGGAAACUGGUGCUAAUACUGGAUAUGUGCUCCUGCUGCAUGGUGGGGGUUGGAAAGCUCCGGCGGUUGUGGAUGGACUCGCGGCCUAUCAGCUUGUUGGUGGGGUAGUGGCCUACCAGGCGGCGACGGGUAGCCGGCCUGAGAGGGUGACCGGCCACAUUGGGACUGAGAUACGGCCCAGACUCCGACGGGAGGCAGCAGUGGGGAAUAUUGCACAAUGGGCGCAAGCCUGAUGCAGCAACGCCGCGUGCGGGAUGACGGCCUUCGGGUUGUAAACCGCUUUCAGCAGGGACGAAGCUUUUUGUGACGGUACCUGCAGAAGAAGCACCGGCUAACUACGUG